Pelobates cultripes (western spadefoot toad) is the source of this 2607-nucleotide non-coding RNA. Lineage: Eukaryota; Metazoa; Chordata; Amphibia; Anura; Pelobatidae. The record is from the annotation of a GenBank genome assembly.
CAUUAUACCACUAAAUUAAUGGUGCAGAUAAAUGCAAGGAAUAGGGAGUGAAAACAAGAGUGACCAGUUUAUGUAAUAUUAUUAAUACAUUGUACAACAGGCUGCAGUUUACCAUCGUGCACAGCCUACAGCAUUAAUAUUGAUUUUUGUAGGCUGUGCAGAACAGUUUUUUUGUUUUGUUUUGUUUUUUUCUUUCCUAAUAGUUUCAUUUAUCAAGAAAAGGAAGAAUUCAGUUUCACGCAUCACGCAUCAGACAGCUGUCCCCAGCCAAUUGAAAAUUAAGGAACAGGUAUGGUUUCUAUGUUUCUACACAGGACAAAAAUAAAGAACAAAAGUGAUAGUAAUGGAACUAUUCAUUAUACACAAGUCUGUACUCAUAACAAAAAGGUCAUAUUCCGACUCAGUAGAUACUGUGUUACCCAACACCGAGUCAGUUGUAUAACUAAACCAAACACAAUUUAAGAUUAUGUAUCUGCAGAUUGUAAACAAUAUAUUUUGUAUUUGUCCCAUUCUGUAUAAUAUUUUAAUGCUUGAUGGAGAUGCAAUACCUGUUGACCAGGAAGUAGCUGAUAAUUCUCUGUUAAUCAAGAUAAUACAUUUGUUGAGGAUAUGAGAAUUUAACAUACCUGUUAAGCUGCAGCCAAGCAACAUUUAUGGCAAAUAUAGUGUUUAACAAACAUUUUGUAGUGUUCUGGACACCACAAAAGCUAACCAAAAGAUAAAGCAAAUUGCAGUUUGGACUGAAACCAAUGUCUAAGUCUACCCAAGAACAUUCUUCCUCCUUCACUAAAUUUUACUGUUGGCCCUAUGCAGUCAGUAAGUAGUAUUCUACCCGACAUCCUUCAAAUCUACAAUUAUCCAUUAGAAUAAGUUUCAAUUGUUCAAUGGUGGCAUGCUUUAAGCCAUGCAUGGUGAUCUGAGUCAGUUUGAACCUACACAUGUUAGUUCUACAACCUAAAUGAUACAAUCUACAUAUUUCAGGGCUUGCCAAUCUUAUUCCGUGAUCUUGCAUGGCCUACAACUUCUCAAUUUAGUCUAUUGGUGCUACUUUCUUCACCAAUACAGCAUUUAAAAUUGACUAGUAAGUCUUGCGGGGCAGAAAUUUGACCAACUAUUUUUGUGGUGGUUUACCAUUACCGAUGCCAUGGUAGACACUGAGCUUUGCAGUAUGGACCGUAAUUAUACUUAUUUAUUGGAGAUUAUAAGGAAAAUGAAAUAAAAGUGAAAUAGCUAUUGUCUUAUUAUUUUGGGGGGAUGAGUUAUCUGUGUAAGUAGUGGUACUUUUAACGGGGCAAGUAUAUUAACAAAACAAAAUUUUCAGGUGAUUCAAGUUCAUGUUAUUUGACCAAACUUAAACUACCAGAAAUAAAUGUAUUUAUUUUUUCUUCCAUUAAUCAAUGUGCAAUUUUGGUGACCAGUUUCAAAAAGGACAUGAUGGAACUGGAAAAAGUGCAGGGGAGGACUGUGGGCCGAACAUAAUCAAACAGGAGAGAGUACAGCAAGUAGAUGGGACAACAAGAAAGAAUGGCAAGUAUGGAGGUAUAAAUUAAGGAAUGUUUAUGGUAGGGUAGGUGGGUUGGCAUAGUACGCAAUUCUUGUUGGUCAGAUUGGAUUGGUAUUCUCAGUUUGUAGCCCUUAAAUGCCAGGGCGUAAGCAAUGUUUUAAGAGAAAUGUUGGUAUUUAACACUAACGUUUAAGAGUGGUCAGUACAGUAAGGAAUUCAAAGGCUUGAUCUAAGUAGAGCUCUGUAGUGGGUUAUUAGAACCAACAGAUUUUACUAGAACAUCUCAAAUGUUGCAGCCAGAGAGAGAUUCCGUUUGGACAGAGUCCAUUCCCCUUGGCUAAAGCAGUGAAAGUAACACUGUGUGCACUGUACCAGCCAAUUCACAGUUUCCAACGGGUGCGGUAAACUGCCUGUCUGCAAGCUGUCUCCUCUAACCAAAGAAAUACUCAGACCAUGUAUUAACUCUUUGGGGGUGGUAGGCUUGGGUCGGUUCCCAGUAUUUUAAUAUUUCACAUAUAUCAUACUGCUUCGCACUGUAUAUGUUACAUGUGCAUCAGUAAAUAACUUGGCCCCUGUUAUACACAGGCUAAAUUUUAUUUUUGUUUUGAUAGAAAAUUUGUUUAAUAUCUGGCAUUGAUUGACUUUUUUUGAGAGGCUAGGAAUAAUCUUCGCUAACAUAUUUAUAUUGUAACAUUUAACUUAAUCUUCCAGUAGAGUAGGGUCAAAGUUGAUCAUCUAAUAAUGCCUAUUUUCUCAAUGCUCCACUUGCAAGUCACAUGCAGUUUGCAGAGCCUUCACAAUAAGCUGCAUUAGACACCCUGAGUGACAGCCAUGAGGUGGGUGCAUGCUGCACUCCUCUAUUAGCUUUGCAUUGGCUCAAAAAGUAGCACAGAGGAGAAGUAUAGAUAUAGUAUGGCAGCUUGGUGUGUUCAGCCUGCACGUGAGUGGAAGGGGUGAAAAUUUAACAUCCUCUACUGAAAGAUGUCAUGCCGAGCUGGCAAACCAGACAGAGGUGGAAUUAGGGUGGUGGAGGGACAUACACACAACAGAAUGGGUGGCAGAAAAAUCACAAAUAAAAAAAGAUUAAUGUAAUUAAUUAUGUG